This 811-nucleotide long non-coding RNA is filed under the name Brassica rapa (field mustard). Its description in RNAcentral is "long non-coding RNA (BRAP_LNC003143)". The record is from RNAcentral. Lineage: Eukaryota; Viridiplantae; Streptophyta; Magnoliopsida; Brassicales; Brassicaceae.
GUAAAAUAGAGAUAUUAAGUAAAUAAAAAGUAUAAGAAAUGGAAAUACAUAUACAGGAAAAUAAAUAAUAAGUGAAUAAUGUAAAUAUAUAAUAUAUAAAUCAUAUAUAUAAUAAUAAGUAAAUACACAAUUUUUUUAAAAAAUGGAAAAAGUUCAUUAAGCAUUAAACAUCUAUCUCAAAAUGUAAAAUAUAUAAUAUAAAAGUAAAUACACAAUUUAAAAAAAUGGAAAAAGUAUCUAUCUAAUAUAAAAUAUAGAUAUUACGUAAAUAAAAAAUAUAAGAAAUGGAAAUAAACAUUUAAAAAAAAUAGAAAAAGUAUAUUAAGAUUUAAACAUCUAUCUUAAAAUGUACAUUUAUCCUAAAAUGGUAAUAAAUUAUAUAAAAAUAGAAAUACCACAUUAAACAAAAAAAAAAUGUAUGGUUUUACAUAAAAAAAAGUCCCUAUAAAACUCAUUAUUCCAUCAACAUCAACCUCACACUAUCAAGGAAAACUUCAAAGCACUCGGGCAAAAAAAGGUUUCACCAUCAACUCUUGCCGUCCCAAAAACCUUUAAUGACCUUGAAUGAGAUUUUUUAUAAUAACAAACUUUUUGUUAGAUGGAUUCAUUGUUGGGAAAACCGCAACUUCCAAAAUCCAAACUUAUUCAUGGGAAUUGAAUUGCUUUUCAUAGAUUCAAAGGUAUUCUUACAAAUUUAAAUUAAUCUAAUCUAUAAUUUUAUUGUUAAUAUUCAUACUAACUUUUUCAUGAUCAAACCAUUACAGUUAAUAACCAUUCAAGCGUUUAUCUCGAACCACUUCUUUCCUCGCCG